GAUGAAGAACGUAGCGAAAUGCGAUACUUGGUGUGAAUUGCAGAAUCCCGUGAACCAUCGAGUUUUUGAACGCAAGUUGCGCCCGAAGCCAUUAGGCCGAGGGCACGCCUGCCUGGGCGUCACACGUCGUUGCCCCCCCCCAUCUACUCCUUCGGGAUUGCGGGGGGCGGAUGAUGGCCUCCCGUGCGCCUCGCCGCGCGGUUGGCAUAAAUGCCAAGUCCUCGGCGACGCACGCCACGACAAUCGGUGGUUGCGAAACCUCGGUUGCCCGUCGUGUGCGGUCGUCGCGCAUCGAGGGCUCGAAAAAAUUGCCGAGUUCCGGCUCGGCUUUCAACGCGACCCCAGGUCAGGCGGGGUUACCCGCUGAAUUUAAGCAUAUCAAUAAGCGGAGGA
Molecule: unclassified non-coding RNA, 393 nt
Filed under: soil metagenome
Description: partial contains 5.8S ribosomal RNA, internal transcribed spacer 2, and large subunit ribosomal RNA
Rfam family: 5.8S ribosomal RNA (bases 1-122)
Source: RNAcentral